CCUACGGGUGGCAGCAGUGAGGAAUAUUGGUCAAUGGCCGGAAGGCUGAACCAGCCAUGCCGCGUGAAGGUCAGUGCCCUAUGGGCGUUAAACUUCUUUUGUGCGGGAGCAAUAAUGGUCACGUGUGGCCAGACGAGAGUACCGUACGAAUAAGCAUCGGCUAAACCCGUGCCAGAAGCCGCGGUAAUACGGGGAAUGCAAGCGUUAUCUGGAUUAAUUGGGUUUAAAGGGUGCGUAGGCUGGGAGGUAAGUCAGCGGUGAAAUGCCCCGGGUCAAGGGGGUGAAGUGCCUUUGAUACUGGCAUGCUGGAAUGCGAAUGCGGUGGGAGGAAUGUGAGGUGUAGCGGUGAAAUGCGUAGAUAUCACACAGAACACCGAUUGCGAAGGCAUCUCACGAAUCCGAGAUUGACGCUGAUGGACGAAAGCGUGGGUAGCAAACAGGAUUAGAUACCCCUGUAGUC
Molecule: ribosomal RNA, 460 nt
Filed under: uncultured bacterium
Lineage: Bacteria
Description: partial 16S ribosomal RNA
Rfam family: Bacterial small subunit ribosomal RNA
Source: RNAcentral